GGGAGGCAGCAGUGGGGAAUAUUGGACAAUGGGGGAAACCCUGAUCCAGCAAUGCCGCGUGUGUGAAGAAGGCCUGCGGGUUGUAAAGCACUUUCAAUUGGGAAGAAAAGCAGUCGGCUAAUACCUGGCUGUCUUGACGUUACCUUUACAAGAAGCACCGGCUAACUCCGUGCCAGCAGCCGCGGUAAUACGGAGGGUGCGAGCGUUAAUCGGAAUUACUGGGCGUAAAGCGCGCGUASGCGGCUUUGUAAGUCGGAUGUGAAAGCCCCGGGCUUAACCUGGGAACUGCAUUCGAUACUG
RNAcentral lists this ribosomal RNA (300 nucleotides) under uncultured Gammaproteobacteria bacterium. Its description in RNAcentral is "bacterial SSU rRNA". It matches the Rfam family "Bacterial small subunit ribosomal RNA", at positions 343 to 635 of the family's 1533-position model. The record is from RNAcentral. Lineage: Bacteria; Pseudomonadati; Pseudomonadota; Gammaproteobacteria.